AGGACGAACGCUGGCGGCGUGCCUAACACAUGCAAGCCGAGCGAGGAGAUCCCUUCGGGGAUGAACCUAGCGGCGGACGGGUGAGUAACACGUGGGCAACCUGCCUUAUAGAGGGGAAUAGCCUUCCGAAAGGAAGAUUAAUACCGCAUAACAUUACAUUUUCGCAUGAAGAAGUAAUUAAAGGAGUAAUCCGCUAUAAGAUGGGCCCGCGGCGCAUUAGCUAGUUGGUGAGGUAACGGCUCACCAAGGCGACGAUGCGUAGCCGACCUGAGAGGGUGAUCGGCCACAUUGGGACUGAGACACGGCCCAGACUCCUACGGGAGGCAGCAGUGGGGAAUAUUGCACAAUGGGGGAAACCCUGAUGCAAGCAACGCCGCGUGAGUGAUGAAGGUCUUCGGAUCGUAAAGCUCUGUCUUCAGGGACGAUAAUGACGGUACCUGAGGAGGAAGCCACGGCUAACUACGUGCCAGCAGCCGC
This 477-nucleotide ribosomal RNA is filed under the name uncultured bacterium. Its description in RNAcentral is "bacterial SSU rRNA". It matches the Rfam family "Bacterial small subunit ribosomal RNA", at positions 26 to 518 of the family's 1533-position model. The record is from RNAcentral.